This 590-nucleotide ribosomal RNA is filed under the name Carabus lusitanicus helluo. RNAcentral describes it as "partial large subunit ribosomal RNA". It matches the Rfam family "Bacterial large subunit ribosomal RNA", at positions 1921 to 2748 of the family's 2925-position model. The record is from RNAcentral. Lineage: Eukaryota; Metazoa; Arthropoda; Insecta; Coleoptera; Carabidae.
UUUUAAAUGGCCGCAGUAUUUUGACUGUGCAAAGGUAGCAUAAUCAUUAGUUUUUUAAUUAAAAGCUUGUAUGAAAGGCUGGACGAGGUAAAAUCUGUCUCUAUUUAAAUUAUAGUAGAAUUUAACUUUUAAGUUAAAAGGCUUAAAUAUUAUUAAAAGACGAGAAGACCCUAUAGAUCUUUAUAGUUUAUUAAAUUAAAUUAAUUUAGAAAUAUUAAUGUUUUAUUUAGUUAAGUUAUUUUAUUGGGGUAAUAAAAAGAUUGAAUUAAUUCUUUUUUAUAAUAAACAUUAAUUUAUGAAUAUUAAUGAUCCAGUUUUACUGAUUAUAAGAUUAAGUUACCUUAGGGAUAACAGCGUAAUUUUUUUAGAGAGUUCAUAUCGAUAAAAAAGUUUGCGACCUCGAUGUUGGAUUAAAGAUUAUUUUAGGUGUAGAAGCUUAAUAAUUUUGGUCUGUUCGACCAUUAAAUCUUUACAUGAUCUGAGUUCAGACCGGCGUAAGCCAGGUCGGUUUCUAUCUUUAAUAAAAUAGAAUAUUUUAGUACGAAAGGACCAAAUAUUUGAUAUAUUUAUAUUUAAUUUAUUGAAUAUUA